GGUUCUCUCUCCUCUGCGGAUCUCUUUCGCACGUCUAUUGCUGUCUACCUGGAACUUGAAGAAACAUUUUGCUAAACUCAUGACAAAUCCAAAGUGGGAUUUUCAGUGAGGUUGGGUUCUUCGUGGUUUCUGGAUGGAAAAUGAGGCUAAAGGUACAGUGACUGUCCCCAGAAGAGGGUCAGAAUGCUGGCCACAGAGAUGACGUUCCCUAGAUUUGGGCCUCACUCAUUCAACAGAGAAGGCCAAGAUACUGGGCUAGCCCUUCUUCUUUUAUGUGUUUUCCAGAUCUGAGCUCUGUGCUCUCCACUGCAUGCAUGUCUAAUGUGGGAAGAAUUCACUAGAUUCUACAGCAUGGGUAGCCAUUGCACCAACCUUCAAUCCCCUGUCUCCACAGUGUCUCUGUAUCCACUGUUAUUGUUCCCGUGGUCUGUGGCCUCCUCAGCAAGAGCCUAGUCUUCACGGUCUUAUUCGUUGUCACACAGAGGUCAUUUGGAUGACAGAUCUUGAAGCUACACAACAAUGACCUUCAGCCAUGUCUUUCUCACAGGAGGAGCUGAGUCCUUGCUCCCUCCCUGGAGAACUCGUUGACUGACUGAGAUAGCUUGGUCACUACUCUCCUCAUUUUAUCUGUCAUCCUAGGGAUGUGCUCUGCACCCUCAGAAGAGAGGAAACACUUCCCAGCACGCUCUGGUUAUUCCCCCUAAAUAAGUAGGUUCGUCUGAAAUAAAGACAGAGCCCAGCGUGUUUCCCUGCCUCCUUGUGUGAGAGUCAUGAAGAUUAUAGGUCACCAUUUAUAUAUCCACCCUUUGUCCUUCCACUGAAUGGUACAAUUCUAGUCAUCUGGGCAGGGCCCCUGCUCAUAAAGCAGCCUGCUCGCCAGCCUCUGGAGCCUUCCCUUCUGGGAGUCAGACACUCAGAUUUCUGCCUUCAUCUGUGGUCCUCUGAACACUCUCAACCAUGGACCAAGAAGACAAGAUCCCACCUUGACAAUAAUGCAACUGGGAGAGAGAAAUCAACUUAAGCUGGAUGCUGUUGCCUGGGAAACGCCUGGAGGAGGAGGUGGCAUCCGCAGGACUGGAUCAGUAUGUGGCAUCCACAUGCUGCCUGUGUUUCAUUAUUGACUCCUCAGUGCAACCCAUGAGGGCUAAGGUGUUUGUGACCAGAGUGAGGCUGCAGGAGCAGCAGGCCAUCACCUCCUGGCAGGAAUGAAAUCCAGAGAGUUCUCUUGAUGAAGGGCUCCAGAGGCAGGAGAUGGAAACCCAGGCUCUUCUGUUAUCUGAGUGCCUUUUUGCCUGGACUGAGACAGGGGCCAGCAUGGCAAGGGUCCCAACCCAAACUGUCCCCCUGUGUGUCUCUACCUCCCUUCUUUCACCUCCCAGUCUCCUCCCAGGUUCCCUAUGGCUUCAGUGCUUUCUCUGGGACACAUUGGCAUUUUCUUGAUUCCACUUCUUUGGGCUCUAAAGACCAAGUGACUCCACGGGUGGGAAAAGGAUGGUACAUUAGUUCAUUCUAUUUCAGCCAUGGCUGGAGCCAACUUCAUCCCAAGGCUCCCAAGAGCAAACACAUCACCACAAAGCUCACAUGAUCUCACCUAGAAGGCUGAGGAAUGGCUGGACCACUCACCUCAGGUCAGGCAAGCAUGUUCCUGUCAGGGAUACUUUCCCUCCUCCUGUGAAGAUCCUAGGUCUUAAAGUGUGCUUCUGGCACAUAAGGACGGUUCACUGAGAACAGGGCUCUCUGUGUAACUCCACCCUGGGGUGGCAUUGAUGAGGCACAGGGUAUUUACAGCCCUACAACAUCUAGUCUGUUGUGAGAGGCCUCAGUGGAAUUCACUUUAUAUUGGUGCUCUGGGUGGGUCUUUGGAGAAUUAAUCCAGAAAAUGAUCACCUCGGUAUGACUGUGUGAUUUGUCUUUUCCUGCCUUAAGAACCAAGUUGUUACUUCCUGGGUUUUUCCACCCAGGACUUCUGAGACUUCUUGUUUAUUAAUAAAUGCCUAGGCUAUACACUUUU
This is a long non-coding RNA of Grammomys surdaster, 2011 nucleotides long. RefSeq lists it as uncharacterized. The transcript has 2 exons. The record is from RefSeq and is a predicted model, not a curated record. Lineage: Eukaryota; Metazoa; Chordata; Mammalia; Rodentia; Muridae.